Molecule: transfer RNA, 91 nt
Filed under: Candidatus Izimoplasma sp. HR2
Lineage: Bacteria; Bacillati; Mycoplasmatota; Mollicutes; Candidatus Izemoplasmatales; Candidatus Izemoplasmataceae
Description: Candidatus Izimaplasma sp. HR2 tRNA
Rfam family: tRNA
About the family: Transfer RNA (tRNA) molecules are approximately 80 nucleotides in length.
Source: Rfam by way of RNAcentral
GGAGGAAUACCCAAGUCCGGCUGAAGGGAUCAGUCUUGAAAACUGACAGGGCGUUUAUAGCGCCGCGGGGGUUCGAAUCCCUCUUCCUCCG